Molecule: long non-coding RNA, 846 nt
Filed under: Nicotiana benthamiana
Lineage: Eukaryota; Viridiplantae; Streptophyta; Magnoliopsida; Solanales; Solanaceae
Description: long non-coding RNA (NBEN_LNC033157)
Source: RNAcentral
AAUUUUUACGUGUCUUUGUCAAUUUGCUGAAAUAUUUCAUUGCAGUAUAUUUGUUCUGCUGUUAAUCAUGAUUAAAACCCUUUUAGCAAGGUUUGGACUUGCAGAUCACAAGCAGUUUAAGAGAAAGACAACUGCAUCGUAGCUUGAAAUGAAUUGAAGCAAUUUUAGAAUACCCGAGAGAUGGCCCAUUUAAUAAGAAGCCAAGAACCACAAUACAAACGCCUGUAAAGGAAAUAACUUGCUAUUUUCUGUCUUUUACCCUUUGGCUCGAGUUGUCAAAUAUAUCACAAUAGAUCAUUGAAAGACGACCAACCGCGCACACGCUCACCCAAUGUAGGCUUGCUGUCCGAAGACCCAAAAAAAUCCUGAAACAUACCAAGCAAUUCCCCUCGUGAUACAACACAAUUAUUGCUUGAAAGCCCUGGCUUGCAGCGAACUCCAAAAUUUUUGUACCCCACUUAGCCCCAUCCUUGCCGUGGUAAGACUCGAGUUAUCCACACAAAACUGCAACCCGGCGAUCUCACAUUGACCAGUCUGGUGAACAUAAAACUUAAAAUAGACAGAAUACUGAAAUACCCAGCUAAAAGGUCACCUCGCUGUCCGAAGACCCAAAAAAAUCCUGAAACAUACCAAGCAAUUCCCCUCGUGAUACAAUACAAUUAUUGCUUGAAAGCUUCCUCACUUGCAUCACUAUGUUUUUCUGCUCAGUCGGACAGAUACAAAUCUUUGUAUCAUCUACCACAUAUAUUUUUAAGGUUAAUGAUCAACUCAUUAAUUAUAGACAGGAACAAAUCUUUGUAUCAUCUACCACGGACAUUUUUCUUAGCUUCAGAAAUAUGGAACAUC